This 499-nucleotide ribosomal RNA is filed under the name uncultured bacterium. RNAcentral's name for it is "partial 16S ribosomal RNA". It matches the Rfam family "Bacterial small subunit ribosomal RNA", at positions 30 to 523 of the family's 1533-position model. The record is from RNAcentral.
AUUGAACGCUGGCGGCAUGCCUUACACAUGCAAGUCGAACGGUAACAGGUCUUCGGAUGCUGACGAGUGGCGAACGGGUGAGUAAUACAUCGGAACGUGCCUAGUAGUGGGGGAUAACUACUCGAAAGAGUGGCUAAUACCGCAUGAGAUCUACGGAUGAAGGCAGGGGAUCGCAAGACCUUGUGCUACUAGAGCGGCCGAUGGCAGAUUAGGUAGUUGGUGGGAUAAAAGCUUACCAAGCCGACGAUCUGUAGCUGGUCUGAGAGGACGAUCAGCCACGCUGGGACUGAGACACGGCCCAGACUCCUACGGGAGGCAGCAGUGGGGGAAUUUUGGACAAUGGGCGCAAGCCUGAUCCAGCAAUGCCGCGUGCAGGAUGAAGGCCUUCGGGUUGUAAACUGCUUUUGUACGGAACGAAAAGCCCCGGGUUAAUACCCUGGGGUCAUGACGGUACCGUAAGAAUAAGCACCGGCUAACUACGUGCCAGCCGCCGCGGUAA